RNAcentral lists this ribosomal RNA (343 nucleotides) under uncultured bacterium. RNAcentral describes it as "bacterial SSU rRNA". It matches the Rfam family "Bacterial small subunit ribosomal RNA", at positions 8 to 334 of the family's 1533-position model. The record is from RNAcentral.
AGAGUUCGAUUAUGGCUCAGGAUGAACGCUGGCGGCGUGCUUAACACAUGCAAGUCGAACGGGAAACCUUUUAUUGAAGCUUCGGCAGAUUUAGAUUGUUUCUAGUGGCGGACGGGUGAGUAACGCGUGGGUAACCUGCCUUAUACAGGGGGAUAACAGUCAGAAAUGACUGCUAAUACCGCAUAAGCGCACAGAGCUGCAUGGCUCGGUGUGAAAAACUCCGGUGGUAUAAGAUGGACCCGCGUUGGAUUAGCUAGUUGGUGAGGUAACGGCCCACCAAGGCGACGAUCCAUAGCCGGCCUGAGAGGGUGAACGGCCACAUUGGGACUGAGACACGGCCCAG